RNAcentral lists this unclassified non-coding RNA (432 nucleotides) under Hevea brasiliensis (rubber tree). Lineage: Eukaryota; Viridiplantae; Streptophyta; Magnoliopsida; Malpighiales; Euphorbiaceae. The record is from RNAcentral.
GGGAAGGAUAGGAUCAAGCUUGUGAAGGGCCAAAACUUCUUCCUCUGCAGCUUUGCUGGGCACUGUCAGGCUGGAAUGAAAGUAGCCAUAACUGCUGCGUGAUCUAGCUAGCUAAUUAAGAUCAAGACAUUUGGGAUUUUUAUUUUUAUUUUUUCUUCACUUUAUAUAUGUAAUGAUAGGUUUUGGUGUUAGGAAAGUUACUGAUCAAUGUGUCUUUGUGGUGGUGUGUGACUUGAUUUUGUGGGUGGGUUGGUGUGGCUUCUGGCUAGGCUGCCAAAUAUAUAGAUAUAAUGUUGUGAAAUAAAAUGGAGAAAAACAAUAGGUUGGUUAGAUUUUUCUUUUUUAAAUCUGGUCUAUGUCUAUUAUGGAUUUAAGAUGUAAGAUAUAUGGUGAAAUCAACUUAUUAAAUACAUGGAUCUCAUUUAUUUAAAA